AGGCCUUGCUNUCGGAGUCGAUUUAGCCAUGCUAGUCGCACGGGUUUAGACCCGUGGCGGAUAGCUCAGUAACACGUGGCCAAACUACCCUGUGGACGGGAAUAACCUCGGGAAACUGAGGCUAAUGCCCGAUACGGCUCGCACGCUGGAGUGCGGCGAGCCGGAAACGUUCCGGCGCCACAGGAUGUGGCUGCGGCCGAUUAGGUAGACGGUGGGGUAACGGCCCACCGUGCCGAUAAUCGGUACGGGUCAUGAGAGUGAGAGCCCGGAGACGGUAUCUGAGACAAGAUACCGGGCCCUACGGGGCGCAGCAGGCGCGAAACCUUUACACUGCACGACAGUGCGAUAGGGGGACUCCGAGUGCGAGGGCAUAUAGUCCUCGCUUUUCUGUACCGUAAGGUGGUACAAGAAUAAGGGCUGGGCAAGACCGGUGCCAGCCGCCGCGGUAAUACCGGCAGCCCGAGUGAUGGCCGCUAUUAUUGGGCCUAAAGCGUCCGUAGCCGGCCAGACAAGUCCGUUGGGAAAUCGGCGCGCUCAACGCGUCGGCGUCCGGCGGAAACUGUCUGGCUUGGGGCCGGAAGACUCGAGGGGUACGUCCGGGGUAGGAGUGAAAUCCCGUAAUCCUGGACGGACCACCGGUGGCGAAAGCGCCUCAGAAGACGGACCCGACAGUGAGGGACGAAAGCUAGGGUCUCGAACCGGAUUAAAUACCCGGGU
Molecule: ribosomal RNA, 717 nt
Filed under: uncultured archaeon
Lineage: Archaea
Description: bacterial SSU rRNA
Rfam family: Archaeal small subunit ribosomal RNA
Source: RNAcentral